UCCCUACGGGGGGCAGCAGUGGGGGAUAUUGCACAAUGGGGGGAACCCUGAUGCAGCGACGCCGCGUGAGCGAAGAAGUACCUCGGUAUGUAAAGCUCUAUCAGCAGGGAAGAAAAUGACGGUACCUGACUAAGAAGCCCCGGCUAACUACGUGCCAGCAGCCGCGGUAAUACGUAGGGGGCGAGCGUUAUCCGGAUUUACUGGGUGUAAAGGGGGCGCAGACGGCCAUGGCAAGCCCGGUGUGAAAGGUGCGGGCACAACCCGCAGACUGCACUGGUAACUGCCUGGCUGGAGUGCCGGAGGGG
Molecule: ribosomal RNA, 305 nt
Filed under: uncultured bacterium
Lineage: Bacteria
Description: partial 16S ribosomal RNA
Rfam family: Bacterial small subunit ribosomal RNA
Source: RNAcentral